UUAAAAAGCUCGUAGUUGAACCUUGGGCCUGGCUGGCCGGUCCGCCUCACCGCGUGCACUGGUUCGGCCGGGCCUUUCCCUCUGGGGAACCUCAUGCCCUUCACUGGGUGUGAUGGGGAACCAGGACUUUUACUGUGAAAAAAUUAGAGUGUUCAAAGCAGGCCUAUGCUCCAAUACAUUAGCAUGAAAUAAUAGAAUAGGACGUGUGGUUCUAUUUUGUUGGUUUCUAGGACCGCCGUAAUGAUUAAUAGGGACAGU
Molecule: ribosomal RNA, 258 nt
Filed under: uncultured Ascomycota
Lineage: Eukaryota; Fungi; Ascomycota
Description: partial 18S ribosomal RNA
Rfam family: Eukaryotic small subunit ribosomal RNA
Source: RNAcentral